Small nucleolar RNA from Hucho hucho (huchen), 131 nucleotides. The record is from Ensembl. NCBI's taxonomy places the organism in Eukaryota, Metazoa, Chordata, Actinopteri, Salmoniformes, Salmonidae.
AGGCACAUUUUCACUCCCCAGUUCUCUCUCUGUGGGGACGUGGACAUGUCUGAUGUGCCAGAUCAAUCUCAGGCGGUCAAUUAGCAGAAUGGCUCCACUUUGCUUUCCCUGCCAGUCACCUUCUGACAAUA